UACGUAGGGUGCGAGCGUUAAUCGGAAUUACUGGGCGUAAAGUGUGCGCAGGCGGCCGCGCAAGUCGAGUGUGAAAUCCCCGAGCUUAACUUGGGAAUUGCGCUCGAAACUACGUGGCUGGAGUGUGGCAGAGGAAGGUGGAAUUCCACGUGUAGCAGUGAAAUGCGUAGAGAUGUGGAGGAACACCGAUGGCGAAGGCAGCCUCCUGGGCCAACACUGACGCUCAUGCACGAAAGCGUGGGGAGCAAACAGG
RNAcentral lists this ribosomal RNA (253 nucleotides) under uncultured bacterium. RNAcentral's name for it is "partial 16S ribosomal RNA". It matches the Rfam family "Bacterial small subunit ribosomal RNA", at positions 524 to 776 of the family's 1533-position model. The record is from RNAcentral.